RNAcentral lists this transfer RNA (71 nucleotides) under Etheostoma trisella (trispot darter). Its description in RNAcentral is "tRNA-Gly". It matches the Rfam family "tRNA". Rfam says of the family: Transfer RNA (tRNA) molecules are approximately 80 nucleotides in length. Their secondary structure includes four short double-helical elements and three loops (D, anti-codon, and T loops). Lineage: Eukaryota; Metazoa; Chordata; Actinopteri; Perciformes; Percidae. The record is from RNAcentral.
GUCUUUCUAGUAUAAAAUAAGUAUAAGUGACUUCCAAUCACUUGGCCUUGGUUAAACUCCAAGGAAAGAUA